Molecule: ribosomal RNA, 832 nt
Filed under: Cis seriatulus
Lineage: Eukaryota; Metazoa; Arthropoda; Insecta; Coleoptera; Ciidae
Description: SSU rRNA
Rfam family: Eukaryotic small subunit ribosomal RNA
Source: RNAcentral
UUAGAUCGUACCCACAUUUACUUGGAUAACUGUGGUAAUUCUAGAGCUAAUACAUGCAAACAGAGCUCCGACCGGAGACGGAAGGAGCGCUUUUAUUAGAACAAAACCGAUCGGUGGUGGAUUUAUCCAUCAUCGCACAAUUUGAUGAAUCUGAAUAACUUUAAGCUGAUCGCACGGUCUAGCACCGGCGACGCAUCUUUCAAAUGUCUGCCUUAUCAACUGUCGAUGGUAGGUUCUGCGCCUACCAUGGUUGUAACGGGUAACGGGGAAUCAGGGUUCGAUUCCGGAGAGGGAGCCUGAGAAACGGCUACCACAUCCAAGGAAGGCAGCAGGCGCGCAAAUUACCCACUCCCGGCACGGGGAGGUAGUGACGAAAAAUAACGAUACGGGACUCAUCCGAGGCCCCGUAAUCGGAAUGAGUACACUCUAAACCCUUUAACGAGGAUCAAUUGGAGGGCAAGUCUGGUGCCAGCAGCCGCGGUAAUUCCAGUUCCAAUAGCGUAUAUUAAAGUUGUUGCGGUUAAAAAGCUCGUAGUCGAAUUUGUGUCUCGCACCGCCGGUUCAUCGUUCGCGGUGUUAACUGGCGUGCCGUGGGACGUCCUGCCGGUGGGCUUAGCUCGUGAGGGCGGCCCAAAUCAAUCCUGCCACGGUGCUCUUCAUUGAGUGUCGAGGUGGGCCGGCACGUUUACUUUGAACAAAUUAGAGUGCUUAAAGCAGGCUAAAAUUUCGCCUGAAUACUAUGUGCAUGGAAUAAUAGAAUAGGACCUCGGUUCUAUUUUGUUGGUUUUCGGAACCCCGAGGUAAUGAUUAAUAGGAACGGAUGGGGGCAUUC